UGGGGAAUUUUGGACAAUGGGCGAAAGCCUGAUCCAGCCAUGCCGCGUGUGGGAAGAAGGCCUUCGGGUUGUAAACCACUUUUGUCAGGGAAGAAAUUUCUUUGGAUAAUACCUAAGGAAGAUGACGGUACCUGAAGAAUAAGCACCGGCUAACUACGUGCCAGCAGCCGCGGUAAUACGUAGGGUGCAAGCGUUAAUCGGAAUUACUGGGCGUAAAGCGUGCGCAGGCGGCUUUGCAAGACAGGUGUGAAAUCCCCGGGCUUAACCUGGGAACUGCACUUGUGACUGCAUGGCUUGAGUGCGGCAGAGGGGGAUGGAAUUCCGCGUGUAGCAGUGAAAUGCGUAGAUAUGCGGAGGAACACCGAUGGCGAAGGCAAUCCCCUGGGCCUGCACUGACGCUCAUGCACGAAAGCGUGGGGAGCAAACAGG
RNAcentral lists this ribosomal RNA (429 nucleotides) under uncultured bacterium. Its description in RNAcentral is "bacterial SSU rRNA". It matches the Rfam family "Bacterial small subunit ribosomal RNA", at positions 355 to 776 of the family's 1533-position model. The record is from RNAcentral.